This is a long non-coding RNA of Panthera uncia (snow leopard), 6264 nucleotides long. RefSeq lists it as uncharacterized. The record is from RefSeq and is a predicted model, not a curated record. The transcript is spliced from 3 exons. NCBI's taxonomy places the organism in Eukaryota, Metazoa, Chordata, Mammalia, Carnivora, Felidae.
UUUCGGGGCCUUGUGUUUGAACCCCACAUUGGGUGUAGAGAUUACUUAAAUGAAGAAAUAAAUCUUUAAAAAAGAGAUGAAGGAUGUCAGUCUACAGGUAUCAGCAUCUCAUGUUAAGGAAGUAGUGUCUUACCCAUUACACUUUUGUUUUUUUAUUAGCCCUUUGAGGGUCUGUUUAUUAUGUGAGUGUGUGUGUGCAUGUGUUUUAUUUAUAUAUAAUCAUGAGGACUGAGCACUAAGAAAUUGCAUAAUUUUUUUGUGUGUUUUAUAUACACUGUAGCUGUGGAUUCAAACUCUCAAACUUUGCAACCAAUAACAUUGGAAUUGAGAAGACGGAAAAUAUCAAAAGGAAGUGACGUCCCAUUAAAACGUUCUCGGCUUGACAAAAAUUCAUCCCAGGAAAAGUCAAAAACCUACUCGGAAACCACUGACAAAGACUUAUCGAGGAGACGGUCCUCCAGGCUGUCCACUAAUGGGACGCAUGAAAUCCUAGAUCCUGACUUGGUUGUAUCAGAUUUGGUUGAUACGGUUAACACUGAUCCUUUGCAAAACACAUCAUCCAUUAACAAGGAAUCUGAAGAAGGUCAGUUGAAAUCUCCUUUGGAAGCUGACCAGGUCUCAUCUGCAUUGACUUGCCACUCCUUUGGUGAUGGAUUGGGGGCUGCAGGCUUGGAGUUGAACUGCAAGUCAAUGGGAGAAAACAGCAUGAAGACAGAAUCGGCUUCUCCUCUUGCUGAGUUACAAGAGAUUUCUACUGUGGCAGGUUCCUAUUUAGUGUUAAGAUAAUUCUCUUCUCUAUAUGCUUUUGCUUCUGCUUUGUGAACUAAAAAAAAAGACAAGACGUUUCUAAUGAUGUUUUUUCACCUUUUAUUAAUAACUUUUCCUUAUUUUAAUGCUAUAUCCUUUUCAUUUCUGAUAUUGCUAAUUUGUGUUCCAUCUCUUUUGAUUAGUAUACUUAGGGAUUUAUCAAUUUUGUUGAUAGUUUCAAAGAACCAACCUUUUAUCUUAAUUUUCUCUAUUUGUCUUUUUAAAUGGUCAUUGAUUUCUAUUGCGAUCUUAUUUUCUUCCCUUACAUUUUUCUAGAAACUUAGGUCAUUGAUUUUAGAUUUUCUUUUCCAGUAUUAACAUUUAAAAUUACAAACAAAAUAAAAUUACAAAUUUCCCAUUAAGCACUACUUUAGCUACAUCCUACAGAUUUUGAUACGUUGUUGUAUUUUCAGUUUCUUUCAAUUUAAGAUAUCUUGUGAUUUAUUUGCUGAUAAUGGCUUACUUUGAAGCAUGUUGUUUCAUUUCCUAAUAUUGGACUUUUUAGAGAUACCUUAUUGGUACUGAUUUCUAAUGUAAUUCCAUUGUAGUCAGAGAACAUACUUUGUAGGAUUUCAGUCUUCUAAUAUUUGUUGGGAUUUAUUUUAUGGCCAAGCAUAUGAUCUGUCUUGGUGAAUGUUCCAUAUAUAUUUGAAAAAAACAAUGUGUGUGCUGCCAUUUUAUAUCUGUUCUAUCAGUUACCAAGAGAGGGGUGUUAAAAAUCUCUAACCGUGAUUGUGGAUUUGUCUAUUUCUCCAAAGAAUUCUGUCAGUUUUGCUUCAUGUAUUUUGAAGUUUUGUUAUUAGGUGCAUAUGUAUUUAUAAUUGUUAUGUCCUCAUGAUGAAUUGUCCUCUUUGUAAUGUGAAAUAUCAUGCUAUUUUUGGUAAUGAUCUUUGACUUAAAGUCUACUUUACCUGCUAUUAGUACAGGUACUUUUGCUUUCUGUAUGCACGGUGUAUCUAUUUCUAUCACUUUUCUUUCAACAUAACAGUGUCUUUAAAUUCAAAUUGUGUCUUUUAUAGGUGGCAUAUACCUAUUUUGAUUUUAAACUGCAGUGUGUAGUCUGUUUACAUUAAAUAUGAGUAUUGAUAUUAUUCCUUUUAGGUUUACUACCAUUUUGCUUUUUGUUUCCUGUUUAUCCUGUGUUUUGUUCUUUUCCUCCCUUCCUGUUUUUUUAGGUUAAUUGAGUUUUUUUUAAAUUUCAUUUUAAUUUUUUCUAUUAGCUUCUAGGUAUACUUCUUAGAAUUUGUUUUAGAGGUUAGUGUAGGAAUUAUGAUAUAUAUCCUAAGCUUUUUGCAGUUUACUUUUAAUAUUGAACCACUUUAUCUAAAACGUGUAGUCAUUGAAUCCUUCCCUCUUUUGUGCUCUAGUUGCCUCUUGGAAGCUGUAAAAUCCACAGAACAGUAUUAUAAUUUUUGCUCUUAAUAAUUCUGUAUUACAAAGGUGAUGAAGACACAAGAGUCUUAUUUAUGCACAUAUUUACCAUUCCCACUUCUUCAUAUCUUCCUGAAGAUUACAUUUCAGCCUGAAAACUUUCCUGUACUUCUUUCUUGUAGCGUAGGUUUCCUGGUGACAAAUUCUUUUGGUUUUUGUUUAUCUGGACAUGACUUUAUUUAACUUUCAAUCUUGAAGGAUAUUUUCUUCACUGCGUAUAGAAUUUGGGGUUUACAAUUUUGUUUUGUUUUUCUUUUUAAGUACUGUAAAGGUGUUGUUCAUGGUCCUCUGGCCUCUGUUGUUUGUUUGUUUGUUUCUUUUUUUUUUUUUUUGAGACAGAGAGAGACAGAGUAUGAGCAGGGGAGGGGCAGAGAGAGAGGGAGACACAGAAUCUGAAGCAGGCUCCAGUCUCUGAGCUGUCAGCACAGAGCUCAACGCGGGGCUCAAAUUCACAGACUGUGAGAUCAUGACCUGAGCUGAAGACAGACGCUUAGCCGACUGAGCCACCCAGGCGCCCCUGGCCUCUGUUGUUUCUGAAGAGAAGUUAGUAAUCAUUCAUAUCAUUGUUUCUGUUUGUAAUGUGUUAUUUUCUUUUUGGUUUCUUUUAAGAUUUCUCUCUCUGCUUUUUAGCAGUUUGACUAUAAUGUAUUUAGCUUUUGUGUUUUUUUUUUAAACCUACUUGAGAGUGAGUUUGAAUUUGAAAAUUAGUGGUUUUUGUCAAGUUUCAACCAUUAUUUCUGUGAAUAUUGUGUCCCAUUCUCUCUGUCUUCUUUGGUGAUUCACAUUAUGCUUAUGUUAGACCUUUUGAUAUUGUGCCACAGGUCCUUGGGAUUUGUUGAUUUUUUCUUUUCUUUUUCACUCUUUUCCUCCUCUUUUUCCCCUCUUUUUCAGAUUGAAUAAUUUCUGUUUUCAAAUUCUUUCUUCUCUUGAUUCCAAUCUGCUCUUAACCCCAUCCUGUGAACUUUUUUAUUUUUGAUGCUUUUUUAGUUCUAGAAUUCCCUUUUUUCUCACUAGACUCUCUGCUGAGAUCUUGGGAGUCUGUAUGUUCAUUAUGAGCAUAGUUUUUAUAGUUGCAUUAAAGUCCCUGAUAAUCUGCCACCUAGAUUAUCUUGAAGCUAAUCUCCAUUGAUCUUUCUCUUGACUGUAGGUCACAUUUUCCCUUUUCUUCAUGUGUCUAAUGUUUUGGAUUGCAUCCUGCACAUGGUGUCUGAUAUGUUGUAGAGCCUGGCUUAUGUUUAUUUCCUCUGAAGAAUGCUGAUCUCUUUGUUUGAAAGGGCAAUUAAUUUGGCUGAACUCACGUUCCAAAUUCUUUUUCUCUGCAGGGGACAGUAGCCAAAACUUUUGCUCAGUUCUUUUAGCUUUAAUUGGGCUGCUUGAAACUGUUCAUUCAAAGAUCAGCCAGAGAUUUAGGCAGAGUUUAUGUGUAGAAAUUGAAGCCACCCUUUUGUGACUCUCUUCUUUUUUAGGACUUUCUCCCUCAUUUGCCAGCUGUUGUAGUUGCACUGAAGUUUGCCUUUUGUUUCUUGAACCAGUAAGUCUAAAGAUGUCUUACUUGAGUUUUAGCUGCCCAGUGUUACUGACUGGAGCCUGCCUUUAGGUGAAAAGACUUAAGAGAUGGGAAAGUUACCUAGUGCCCUUCUCUUAUUCCAAAUAUACAACUCCUGUUUCUGCCUGCUUUUUGUUGCUCUUUAUUGCCUUUUCAUAUUUGUUUUUAAAUAUUUUUUCCAGUUUAAAAUGGUUGCAUGCAAAAGGGAUGUUCUAGUAUGAGCUAUUCUAUCAUUACUGAAAGAGAAAACUUUACGUUAUGGUAAUAGACAGCUUAGGAAGUUGUACACGUUUAUGUCUACACAGAGAUUUUUUUUUUUUUAAAGUAGUGAUUGCUUGUUGCAUUAAUAGCUACUUGGAUGUUACAUUUCUAUAAUGUUAUGUUUGUGGUAAAUGUUCAGAGUCCGGGAUGGUGCUGACCAUGAAUAAAUCUUGAUCUUUGCCUUUUAAAGUGAAGAACAUCUAAACCACUUUUUUGUGUGUAUGUGUAUUUAUUUUUUAUUUUCCUUUUAAAAAAGCAGUAAAAAAAUAAUAUAUACUGUUUAUAAAAAUGUCAAUAUAGAGAUAUUAGGAGUUAAAGUGAGAAGUGUCUUCUAUCUUGCUCCUUUUCUCCUUGGAUAACCCUCUUGUUAUUAGUUUGUUAUUUUUCUAGAUCCUUUUCUAUAUGUUUAUAGGUAGGGAGGCAAUUCAGAUUUUAUUAUUUAAUUUAAAUUAAAUUAACUUUAAUUUAAAUGUAAUUGGGUUAAUUCUAGGCUUAUUGUUUUCUGACUUAUUUUCAGUUUUCUUGAGAUGUAUCUUUGUAAGUACACUUGUUUCAUUCUUUUUAAUGAUAGAGUAAUGGUGUCUUGUAAGAAUGUUCCAUCAUAUAUUUAGCCAUUUCCCUUUUGACAGACAUUUAGAGUGUUUCUGAGCAGUUGAUAUUUCAAACAAUGAUGGCAAUGGUAUUCCUUGAACAUACAUAAAUAUAUAUCUGCACUGUAUAUACACAUAUAUUUUAAAUUUAUUUUGAGAGAGAGAGAGUGCACAAGUAGGAGAGGGGCAGAGGGAGAAGGAGAGAGAGAAUACCAUACAGGUUCUGCGUUGCCAGCACAGAGCCCCAUCUGAGGCUCGAACUCAGGAAUCAUGAGAACGACCUGAGCCGAAAUCAAGAGUUGGAUGCCUAACCGACUGAGCCACUGAGGUGCCCCACCUUGAACAUGUAUUUUUGACCACUUGGUGAAUAGCCCUUAAGGAUAACUUGCUGUGAGUGUAAUUGCUGGGUUUGAGAGAAUGUACAUUUUCAAUUGCAUUAACAAAUUACCCUCCAAAGACCAUUCUACUUAAUAUUUUGACCAAGAGUAUGAUAGAGUACAUUUUCCCUUACAUCUUUGCUUUCUAUGGAUAUUAUACAUCUUUUAAAUUUUCUUUAUGUUAAUAUUGGAAAUAAGACUUUGUCUUUUAAGCUCUGUGUUUUUUUUAAAUGGGAGUAAACAGUUUUUCAUGGGUUUAUUGAAUAUUUUAAUCUUUUUCUGCAAAUUGUCUUUAUUGCAUUUUAUUUGCCCAUUUCCUGUUGGGUUGUUUGUUUUUAUUAUGGAUUUGCCAGGUUUCCUUUGUAUAGUUUUGAUGUUGAUAUUUUGUCUUUUCUAUACAUUAUACUUUAAUUUCUCUUGGUCAUUUGUCUUUUAUAUAUUGUAACUUACAACACUGAAAUUAAAAAAAAAUUAAAUGUUUAUUUAUUUUGAAAGAGAGAGAGAACGUGUGUGUGAGCAGGGGAAGGGCAGAGAGACAGGGGGAGAGAGAAUCGCAACCAGGCUCUGUGCUGUCAGCGCAGAGCUGGAUGUGGGGCUCAGUUUCCUGAACCAUGAGAUCAUGACCUGAGCCAAAAUCAAGAGUCAAAUGCUUAACCUACUAAGCGACCCAGGUGCCCCUAAAAUUAAAAUUUUAAAUGUACUGUAUUUUCCUUCAGUAUUUAGAAAAAAUAGUUAUGAUCAUAAUAUGUGUAUAAUAUUAUUACAUAUGUAUUUUAUCAUAUUAAAAAAAAAUCACUGGAGCACCUGGGUGGUUCAGUCGGUUAAGCGUCCUACUCUUUUUUUUUUUUUUUUUUUUUAAUGUUUAUUUAUUUUUUGAAGGAGAUAGGAGGGGCAGUGAGAGAGGGAGACAGAAUCCGAAGCAGGCUCCAGGCUCUGAGCUGUCAGCACAGAGCCCGAUGCGGGGCUCGAACCCAUAGACUGUGAGAUCAUGACCUGAGCUGAAGGAGGAUGCUCAACCUACUGAGCCACCCGGGCGCCCCUUAUUUAUUUAUUUUUGAGAGAGAGAGAGAAAGCACAAGCUGAGGUGGGGCAGAGAGAGAGGGAGACGCAGAAUCCGAAGCAGGCUCCAGGCUCUGACCUGUCAGCACAGAGCCGGACACGGGGCUUGAACUCAUAAACUGUGAGAUCAUGAUCUGAGCUGAAGUCGGAUGUUUAACCAUCUGAGCCACCAGGUGCCCCAAAUACCCUACUC